Molecule: ribosomal RNA, 484 nt
Filed under: uncultured bacterium
Lineage: Bacteria
Description: partial 16S ribosomal RNA
Rfam family: Bacterial small subunit ribosomal RNA
Source: RNAcentral
AUUGAACGCUUUCUUCAUUCCUAACACAUGCAAGUCGAGCGGAUGAAGGGAGCUUGCUCCUGGAUUCAGCGGCGGACGGGUGAGUAAUGCCUAGGAAUCUGCCUGGUAGUGGGGGAUAACGUCCGGAAACGGGCGCUAAUACCGCAUACGUCCUGAGGGAGAAAGUGGGGGAUCUUCGGACCUCACGCUAUCAGAUGAGCCUAGGUCGGAUUAGCUAGUUGGUGGGGUAAAGGCCUACCAAGGCGACGAUCCGUAACUGGUCUGAGAGGAUGAUCAGUCACACUGGAACUGAGACACGGUCCAGACUCCUACGGGAGGCAGCAGUGGGGAAUAUUGGACAAUGGGCGAAAGCCUGAUCCAGCCAUGCCGCGUGUGUGAAGAAGGUCUUCGGAUUGUAAAGCACUUUAAGUUGGGAGGAAGGGCAGUAAGUUAAUACCUUGCUGUUUUGACGUUACCAACAGAAUAAGCACCGGCUAACUUCGUG